Molecule: ribosomal RNA, 253 nt
Filed under: uncultured bacterium
Lineage: Bacteria
Description: partial 16S ribosomal RNA
Rfam family: Bacterial small subunit ribosomal RNA
Source: RNAcentral
UACGUAGGGCGCGAGCGUUGUCCGGAAUUAUUGGGCGUAAAGGGCGCGUAGGCGGUUUGACAAGUCUGAUGUGAAGUCUAUGGGCUCAACCCAUAGCCUGCAUUAGAAACUGUCGGGCUUGAGUAUGGGAGAGGUGAGUGGAAUUUCCGGUGUAGCGGUGUAAUGCGUAGAUAUCGGGAAGAACACCCGUGGCGAAGGCGGCUCUCUGGGACGGUACUGACGCUGAGACGCGAAAGCGUGGGGAGCGAACAGG